UUUAAUGAGAACUCCGGAUUGGCCUCCUUUGCGCUGCCUCGUGUGGUGCAUUGCGUGGCCGAGAAGUUGUUCAAAUUUGAUCAUUUAGAGGAAGUAAAAGUCGUAACAAGGUUUCCGUAGGUGAACCUGCGGAAGGAUCAUUACUGUGCCGCUUGUGUGCUUAUAUACACUGUGAACUGAUAGUUGGGAGCGAGCGCGGGAUCGUGUGCGUAAGUGUUGUUACAACACCCGCACACGGACCGCCGACAUUUACCUUUUCAAACGUACCUAUUGUAGCCCAUGUAAACUGUGCGAAAUUAUUAAAAAGAGAAAACUGCUGACGGCGGAUCUCUUGGUUCGUGUAUCGAUGAAGAACGUAGCCAGUUGCGAAAAGUAAUGUGAAUUGCAGAAUGAAGUGAAUCAUCGAAUCUUUGAACGCAAAUUGCACUCCUUGGAAUUCCAUUGAGUAUGUCUGUCUGAGUGUCUUGACAAACCUUACACGCUCCGUGUGAACUCGGGCUCCUGGUCACCGCUGGUGACUCGCGCCUGCAAGACCCUACUCGGCAACGCUUGAGACAACAACAAGGUUUAACAAGCUAGCCAGUCUAAUCCAACUAUGGACCUCAGAUCAGGCAAGACUACCCGCUGAAUUUAAGCAUAUUAAUAAGCGGAGGAAAAGAAACUAACUA
This 668-nucleotide ribosomal RNA is filed under the name Plumularia strictocarpa. Its description in RNAcentral is "eukaryotic LSU rRNA". The stretch from base 312 to 465 matches the Rfam family "5.8S ribosomal RNA". Lineage: Eukaryota; Metazoa; Cnidaria; Hydrozoa; Leptothecata; Plumulariidae. The record is from RNAcentral.